AUACGGAGGGUGCAAGCGUUGUUCGGAAUUACUGGGCGUAAAGCGCGUGCAGGCGGUAAGGUAAGUCAGAUGUGAAAGCCCCGGGCUCAACCCGGGAAGUGCAUUUGAUACUGCCUUUCUCGAGUAUGGGAGAGGAGAGUGGAAUUCCCAGUGUAGAGGUGAAAUUCGUAGAUAUUGGGAGGAACACCCGUGGCGAAGGCGACUCUCUGGACCAAUACUGACGCUGAGACGCGAAAGCGUGGGGAGCGAACAGGAUUAGAAACCCUAGUAGUCC
Molecule: ribosomal RNA, 274 nt
Filed under: uncultured bacterium
Lineage: Bacteria
Description: partial 16S ribosomal RNA
Rfam family: Bacterial small subunit ribosomal RNA
Source: RNAcentral